UCUUUUCCUUUUUUGCCCGCCGCCGCGGUAAUACGUAUGGUGCAAGCGUUAUCCGGAUUUACUGGGUGUAAAGGGUGCGUAGGUGGCAAGGCAAGUCUGAAGUGAAAAUCCGGGGCUCAACCCCGGAACUGCUUUGGAAACUGUUUAGCUGGAGUACAGGAGAGGUAAGUGGAAUUCCUAGUGUAGCGGUGAAAUGCGUAGAUAUUAGGAGGAACACCAGUGGCGAAGGCGACUUACUGGACUGCUACUGACACUGAGGCACGAAAGCGUGGGGAGCAAACAGG
Molecule: ribosomal RNA, 284 nt
Filed under: Coprococcus eutactus
Lineage: Bacteria; Bacillati; Bacillota; Clostridia; Lachnospirales; Lachnospiraceae
Description: partial 16S ribosomal RNA
Rfam family: Bacterial small subunit ribosomal RNA
Source: RNAcentral